This is a long non-coding RNA of Oncorhynchus tshawytscha (Chinook salmon), 2405 nucleotides long. Lineage: Eukaryota; Metazoa; Chordata; Actinopteri; Salmoniformes; Salmonidae. The record is from Ensembl.
UGACACUUGAUAUUCUGGAUUUCCCCUGAUUGUCAAUGCGAUUCCAAUGUGGGUCAAAAGAGUCAGAGUUUUUCAGGGGCCAAGGGCACUGUCUGCCGGUAUCAAAUAUUGUGAUAACUAACCCAAGACAGAUCAGAGCCUGUCGUUUCCAAAUGAAUCAUAGUGCUCAGAACAAGCAAGGAGGUGUGCAGAGCCAAGAGCCACUUCCAGCCACUGGGCUUCCUCUCAGUGAAUGGAAACACCAACCGGAUGCUUCAUAUCUAUACAUCCUGUCAACUAUCUGAUUUAUUGUUCCAUCCAUGGUUGCCAUGUUUGCCAUUUUCCUGCAAAUUGGGCUACUUUGAAAACAAUGUCAGGGGUGAAAAUGUAUUGGUCGCGGGCGGAGGGUUUUGGGAUACUUCUAAAUCGCAUUGCGGCCGCCAUGGCAUAUCUCUUAAACAAAUAUAUUUCACUGUGACCUGCUGCCGCAGACUAUCAGGCAGUGAGGAUUGAGUGAGUUGAGUGAGUGUGAGUUGAGUGAGUGUGAGUUGAGUGAGUUGAGUGAGUGAGAGGACCAGAGGACCGGAGGGGUGUGUGUACGUGGAGAGCGCUGGUUGAGAGAGUCCGGCAGCAGAGACACGGAGACAGAGCAGCACACAAGCACGUCGUGACAACUUUUUACCAAGUCUAUUUAGACUGGUCAUUAUGGAGGCACCCUUUUUCCAUAAAUCGUUAAACACUCUAGAAGUGAUAUAACGGCGACAAAGCAUUGGAAAAUGACUUUAGGCACACGAGAGCUCUUUAGAUACAUUUGCUCAGAGGUGGUUUAAAAUACACUGCAUUCUAAUGUCUCCGCAACGCGGAGUGCCUGGACACAGCCCGUAGCUGUGGUAUAUUGGCCAUAUAUCACAAAACCCAGAGGCUAUUAUAAACGGGUUAUUAUAAACUGGUUACCAACGUAAUUAGAGCAGUAAAAAUAAAUGUUUUGUCAUACCCAUGGUAUACAGUCUGAUAUACCACGGCUGUCAGCCAAUCAGCAUUCAGGGCUCAAACCACCCAGGUUAUAUUUACAAUUAUUAACUGGGUGGUUUGAGCCCUGAAUAGUGAUUGGUUGAAAGCCGUGGUAUAUCAGACGUGUACGACGGGAAUGACAAAAACGUUUUACUGUGCUAAUUAUGUUGGUCACCAGUUUAUAAUAGCAAUAAGGCAUGUCAGGGGUUUGUGGUUUAUGGUCAAUAUACCACGGCUAAAGGCUGUGUCCUAAGUACAGUCCAUAUACCACACCUCAUCGUGCCUUAUUGCUUAAGCAUAGCACUCUAAACAAGUUAAAUUGACAUCCACUGAUGAAAAUGAUCUGGAGAGUUUAAUAAGGGCAAUUUAUCUUCUCUCGUGACAUAUUCUUAAACUCGCAAUAAUUAUUAUUUUGAUGGAAAACCAUAGUUUGCUUCUUAGCCUGUCAGUUAAAAUGAUAUUCCUUAAUUUGCUUAAUAACUUUAUAGGAAAAGGAUUUAUUGGAUAAAUGUGGCAACUUCUCUCUUGCUGCAACAUUUAUUGGGGUCUAGUUCAGCCCUUUGGGCAGGUUGUCAUUGGUCGAUACAUUUGAGCUAGAUCUGGCAACCCUGGUUCCAUCUGUGCAGGUUUUCAUGGGUCAUUGGUCGAUACAUUUGAGCUAGAUCUGGCAACCCUGGUACCAUCUGUGCAGGUAACGUUAUCCUAGUUAGCUGGAUAACGGCUUCGACGCUUUCACCAAAUUGUGCCGAAAAAGGGUAAAUUACUGGGAGCUUCAUUGUCUGUUCACAAUGCACAUUAGUAACAUCAGCUGUUAAAAAUACAUUUAAAAAAAAACAAACAGAAUCUGUGGCAUUAUUUAGGAUGCUGAAUACAGAAGAUUAUAUUAUACUAAAUAAAACUAUUUAUUUGAACUGAGCAGAAAGUGUGGUUUCACUUUGUUUUCCCCUCUAAAUUGUGUUCCUUCAACUGGUUUCGACUUCAGAUCCCUGAAUGUUCCAUACUCUACCUGCUAAACUACCAGUCAGGUGAUACUUUUUGUCCAAAAUCCUAACUAUAUUUGUAAGUGCUGUGUCCGGGUCAGUGUUUGAAAGCAGCGACAACGGCCAAAUCAGUGGAAUCUCUCAUUUUGCAACACAUGGUGUGGAAAAGCACAUGAUCAAACUAAGCUUCUGACCUCAUUGAUGAUAGUGACACAUGCUUCCGCACACUGCUCCGAAGUUAGCUGCUUAGCGAUUUCAACGCAUGGCUCGCAGCUCCGGUAUCAUCACUAGCUACCGGUGUCGCCCCCGCCUGAUGUGUACCGGAGUCUAGACUCCUAUCCCGCCUGAUGUGUACCGGAGUCUAGACUCCUAUCCCGCCUGAUGUGUACCGGAGUCUAGACUCCUAUCCCGCCUGAUGUGUACCGGAGUCUAGAC